RNAcentral lists this long non-coding RNA (1185 nucleotides) under Gallus gallus (chicken). RNAcentral's name for it is "long non-coding RNA NONGGAT008337". Lineage: Eukaryota; Metazoa; Chordata; Aves; Galliformes; Phasianidae. The record is from RNAcentral.
GAAAAAGGAAAGAAAAAAGAAGGAACUGGAAAACCACACAGAAAUGAGGCACUGGCUCCCUGUCAUGUUGUCUGGUCAGUAAUAUUUCUUACUGUGAAAUUCCUGCAUGUUCGCAUGUUCAUGUUUAAAUCCUCCCAGAGAGAUUUUGCAUUGGAUCCUAGUUGAACUCAAGAAGGUAGAUGGUUAUGCGGUUUCUCAUAUUUCUUGCUUUUGAGAGGAACGUCUGUUUAUCCAGAGAGCCUUAUCUGGGCUUGGCGACGAGCACAUUCCGCAGCCAGAAGAAGGACCAGACAGGAAAUUGACCCAAAAAAAGGAAUUAAUAAAGCAACAAGUCACUAUACUCUGGACCACCUCAUUUCAGAAUUCUGCUUGAAGCACACUAAAGACUUCAGUGAGACUUUCUGACAGCGUGUGGUAAUGAAACUACCCCAUAAGGAGAUGAAAAACAAGAUAUACUCAAUGGGAGGAGCACAUGCUUGUACUUAAAUUCUUCUGUUUCUCCUUCAGUCAGAUGGGCAAAGGAAAAUGCUGUCCUAUCCCAAGAAAUGCAAAGGCAUAAUCAAGUAUGUCUGUGCCUCUCUUGCCAUUUUGAUAUUGGGAACUCAUCCAGCUGUGAACCAAUAGUCUUAUAUGGAAGAUCAGAACUGCUGCUCCUUCGCUUCUUGAUGUAGGAUCUCUCUAUACACAAGCACUGUGCGCGAGUCUUCCCCUUAAAACUUUGAGCACUGCAUAAAUUCUGCUGGUCAAGAGGCUCAGACUGUGAUUUCAAAAGGUGAGGAAGGUUGCCAUCAACAAUAUCAGAACUGCAUCAGGAAGAACUGUAUGAUGGUGGCUGCGUAGGUCUGCACAGAUAAAUGAAUCCUCAGCUUUAUCGAGGGGGAAAAGAAUCAAGGAGGUGGUAAUGAGAGAAAAGGUGACUGGUGGUAAAGGCUUCCCUUUGCGUUGGAUUCAGUCCAGACUUGAACUCUCAAAGACUGUGAGCUGGAGGCAGCCACAGAACAAUUCAGACUUCUUGAAGAUAAUCUGCAACUUUUAAAGAAUUUUUUGCAGUUGAUGAACCUGCAGUUAGCCACUUCUGUCCUAGGCAUUAAUUGUGAACAAAUGUACUACAGCAUAGGUAUGAGGUUUUCCACAAAAGCAACAAAGUGAAAGGAACCACCUGCCUUAAUCAGUGACAUUGAUUUA